GACAGAGGGUGCAAACGUUGUUCGGAAUUACUGGGCGUAAAGCGUGUGUAGGCGGCCACGUAAGUCGGAUGUGAAAGCCCCGGGCUCAACCCGGGAAGUGCACUCGAUACUGCGUGGCUUGAGUACUGGAGAGGUUGGUGGAAUUCUCGGUGUAGAGGUGAAAUUCGUAGACAUCGAGAGGAACACCGGUGGCGAAGGCGGCCAACUGGACAGAUACUGACGCUGAGACACGAAAGCGUGGGGAGCAAACAGG
This 253-nucleotide ribosomal RNA is filed under the name uncultured bacterium. Its description in RNAcentral is "partial 16S ribosomal RNA". It matches the Rfam family "Bacterial small subunit ribosomal RNA", at positions 524 to 776 of the family's 1533-position model. The record is from RNAcentral.